AUUGAACGCUGGCGGCAGGCCUAACACAUGCAAGUCGAACGGUAGCACAGAGAGCUUGCUCUCGGGUGACGAGUGGCGGACGGGUGAGUAAUGUCUGGGAAACUGCCCGAUGGAGGGGGAUAACUACUGGAAACGGUAGCUAAUACCGCAUAACGUCGCAAGACCAAAGUGGGGGACCUUCGGGCCUCACACCAUCGGAUGUGCCCAGAUGGGAUUAGCUAGUAGGUGGGGUAAUGGCUCACCUAGGCGACGAUCCCUAGCUGGUCUGAGAGGAUGACCAGCCACACUGGAACUGAGACACGGUCCAGACUCCUACGGGAGGCAGCAGUGGGGAAUAUUGCACAAUGGGCGCAAGCCUGAUGCAGCCAUGCCGCGUGUAUGAAGAAGGCCUUCGGGUUGUAAAGUACUUUCAGCGGGGAGGAAGGCGGUGAAGUUAAUAACUUCACCGAUUGACGUUACCCGCAGAAGAAGCACCGGCUAACUCCGUGCCAGCCGCCGCGGUAA
Molecule: ribosomal RNA, 504 nt
Filed under: uncultured bacterium
Lineage: Bacteria
Description: partial 16S ribosomal RNA
Rfam family: Bacterial small subunit ribosomal RNA
Source: RNAcentral